Molecule: transfer RNA, 25 nt
Filed under: Coix lacryma-jobi (Job's tears)
Lineage: Eukaryota; Viridiplantae; Streptophyta; Magnoliopsida; Poales; Poaceae
Description: tRNA-Lys
Source: RNAcentral
GAGUCCCGGGCAACCCAUAUGGAAA